This is a long non-coding RNA of Cygnus olor (mute swan), 3680 nucleotides long. RefSeq lists it as uncharacterized. NCBI's taxonomy places the organism in Eukaryota, Metazoa, Chordata, Aves, Anseriformes, Anatidae. The record is from RefSeq and is a predicted model, not a curated record. The transcript is spliced from 3 exons.
UGCAGUUUUCUGCAUGUUUUUGUUUCUUUGUGCCUCAUUCAGGCAUGUGUCUUUUUUUUAUUUCUACAUCAGUAGUGUAUCAUCAGCGUGUUGUUGUUGUUGAGUCUUGGCCUUCUUGACUAAUGGGCUCUAGUCCCACUUCCAGCACUCUGUGAUCAUACCUCUGAAGACAGACAACUGCAGCGUGACAGGAAGAGAAGCAGUGUGUAUUGCCAGGAAAAAUGAAGAGGAGAAAGGCAGUGCUCCUAAACUUAAAGUAAUCUAAAGGAAAACAGCUAGAAGACAAUGCAAGAAUGGCACAUUUCCUGCCUUGCUGGAAAGAAAGGAAGUCUCUUGAUCUCUCUUCUUGUCACUAGACAUGUUUCAGAGGAAAAGAGAAAUUUCCUGUGAACCAGCCACAGAGUAUCUGCACAUUUCCCAAUCUCUAUUUCAGACUAUUCAACCUGUAGCAGUUGAGAGAAAACUGUUAGUAACAUUCCUAUCUCUGAACAACUUUUUUGAAGUGUUUUUGAAAUUUUUGCAGAGGAGGUUAGUUUGGAGCACUGAAAAUUGCCAUGUGUGUAAGUGUCAGUGCUCUGUUUUCAUGUUUGGAUGCCUGCAUAAGCUUGGUAGUGUGGCCACUUUGUCACAGCCAAAGGGAGGUGGUACUCUUGCUCAGUCAUAUAGAUGACAUGUUGGCAGUGCUUAGCAUUAUGACUUUGUGGGAGCAUUGUGGAAAUAUUUGGAUUCUGAUAUAAAGUGAGUAUCCCCCUGGCAGUUGUGUUGGAACAUGCACUUUAUUUUUUUGAAAAUACACUUCAGCAUUUUGCACACUAAGAUGUAGCUUUGUCCAAGUGGUCUCUUAAUGUGCAGUUAUAAAUAAAUUACUGUUUGUUUUUCUUGUUGAAUAUACUCACAUAGGCCUUUUUCAGAGUCUUCUUUAAUUUCAUGAAGAUAGAACAUAGAAAAUUAUGUUCUGUGGCCACUAAUUUAAAUCAUGGCUAAUCUUUGGAGAGCUAUUUUACAGCGAAAUAUGCUAUUUAAUAUACAUAAUAGUUUUUUUCUCUCUAUAAUUGCACAGAAGGGAUUGUUUCCAAUAAAUUAAAAUUUCUUUGACACCAAUUAUUUUUGCAAUAUGAAGAUGUAGUAUUUUACCUUCAUUUCAUUUUCUCUAAAUUAAUCUGAUGAUGAUUAGAUUUAAAUAAUAAAAAUAAUGAGGUAUGUUUUCUUCUGUAAAUUACUUCUUUGUCAUGCGUGCUUCCCUUUGUAUUGAACUUGGUGACUUAUUUGCUUUUAGGAGUUCUGAAAUAUUCUGACACUAAUUACAUUUUGAAAUAUAACCUUCCAACUAUGUUGCUUCUGUUUUUUACUCAUUUCAGAUUGGUUUAGAAGCAUUGGCUUGUUAUUUUAUUGCUGAAUAUUGAAGCUGAGAGCCAUAUUACAUAUAUCAGUGUGCUUUCUUUUCCAUCUUUAGCUAUGUUAAUUAAAUUCUGUAUCCUCUAUAUUGCUCAUGAUUUGUGAUGUCUGUUGCCAAAUCCCAGGCUCUGCAAUGUGAAAUCUAUUCAAUAUAAAUAUUUUAUUUGUCCAACUGUUUUUGAAACUAGUUCAGCCAUAGUCUCUAGUAUUUUCUUUUUGUUGUGUACUAAUUGGCCAUUGCAGUGUAUAACAAAAACAAAGGAAAAUGUUCUGACAUGUUCCAUGCAAAAAUAAUAGAUUAAGAUAAUAUUUUCUCCUGCUGCUAGGAAAAAAAUGCAAAGAUCUGUCAUUAAAGUUGCUGGUCUAAAUGUGACAAAAAGGUAGUGAAUUAUCAAUUUAAUCAUAGCAGGUGAGUCCAGUGCUCUAUCUGGCUGAACACUGGACAUGAGACAGACCCCAGUACCAAGAAUGUAAGAGGAAGUUACAAAUAACUUUGUGUUCAUCAGUGAUAUAUUUGAUCUUUAGGGGAAAAUAUUAAUGUGUUGCAGGUGGCACUUGCCUUAUGUCUUAAAGCUAUAAACACACAAAGAUGAUCACAGUGGGUCAGACCAAAGAUCUAUCUGAUGCUGUAUUCUGACUCCUACAAAAUCUGCACAUGAAUGUUUAGGAAGGAGUAAAACUAGAGUAAGCAUAUAGGAUGCUUCCCUUCUACGUUUUUACCAUUAUCUGACUGUUUUCAUCUCAGGGAAUUUUAUAUACUGAGCCUGACUUCCCUUUGCUUAGGUUAUCCAAGACCUAACAAGGUCUUAGAAGAUAUCUUCUAUUAUUCUGGCUCCACUUGAGCCAGGUAAGAUUCUGCAUCCCACAGCAUCAUGGGUGUCCCAGAUAGAGAAUCAGUUCCUUUUUGUGUGUGGAGCCUGUCUCCUGCUAUCUUAAUUUAAUGUCCCCUAGUUCUGCUACUGUAGAAGAGAAAUUAAGCAGGUCAUUCCUAACUGCAUUUUUCAUACCAGUUAUGAUUUUGUAAUUUUCUCAUUUCUUCCCUCAGUUGCUUCUUUUGUAUGUCAGAUAUUGUUAGCUUUGUUGAUUCUUGUACAAAAGCUGCCCUACACCUUUGGUUUCCUUCUCAUUUUCUCUGUGCAUAUUUUAUGCUACUCUAUUCCUUCUGAGAUUAAGAAAUAAACAACAUUUAAGAUACGGGUCUACCAUGGAUUUAUAUAAUGCCAUAAUGAAGUUUUCCAAUUUAUUCUCUAUUAAUUUUUCAAUAGUUUCUAACAUAUGCUUAGUCCUUUUCAACUACUACUGACUACUGAGCGACCAUAUUCAUGGAACUGUAGAUCAUAAUCCAAAGAUCAUGCUCUGAAGCUGUAAUGCUCAGUUCAGCAGCCAUGACUUUAAAAGUGGAAUUGAGAUUGUUUCUUCCAUCUGACUAACUGUAUUUUUACCUAUAUUGAACAUCUGACAUUUUAUUACUCAGGUUCUUAAUUUCAUAAGAUCUUUCUGCAAUUUUUCAUGACUCUUGUCCUUCCUACUUUAAUAACUCAGUGUUGUCAGCAAACUGCCAGCUCACCCCUUUUGUGAGGUUAUAUUUAUGACUAUAUAGACCAGCAGGGGUCCCAGUGAUAAUCUGCUGAUUUUCUUUCACUGCUUGAGACCUGGUCAUAUUAUACCUACCUUCUUUUCCCCAUAAUUUAGUGAAUUAUCUAUCCUGUGUGUGUGUUUUUUUUCUCUUGAGUAUGGUAGUGUAGUUCUUAUAAAGCUUUUAGUGAAAGAAUUUUUUGAAACCUUUGUGGAGGCCAAGUAGGUUAUACCAAGCUGAUGGUCUGUAUCUAGUUUCUUGUUGAAAUCCAACACCUAGAAGUCCAAUAGAUUUUCAAGGCUACACUUCCCCUUGAACAGCCACAUUUUCUUUUUCCAAUAGAUCACACUUAUCCUAGUUUUCAUUCAAUCUGUCUUUUAUUAAGGUUUUUACAAACUGACCUGGAAUAAGAAUCAGACUUUGCAUCUAACCCCUUAGGAAUCCUUUCCUACCUUUAUUUUAUCAUUUUAUUUUAUUUUAAUGACACCACAUUUUUUAUUUUCAGAUACCAGGUCAGUUUAGUCAGGAAUUUAUACAUCAUUGUUUGUCUCCUUCAUCCCCGAGCUCCCUUGGAACUCCUGGGUGGGCACCAUCUGGUCCUGUUGAGCUCCUACUCUUCAUUUUGUCCAUUUGUGUCAAUAUUUUUUUGACAAUGAUUUUAGUUUUGGAAGGAUCCUCAGACUCCUCUGACAAGUCUUCUAGGCAGAAA